This 460-nucleotide ribosomal RNA is filed under the name uncultured bacterium. RNAcentral's name for it is "partial 16S ribosomal RNA". It matches the Rfam family "Bacterial small subunit ribosomal RNA", at positions 338 to 795 of the family's 1533-position model. The record is from RNAcentral.
CCUACGGGAGGCAGCAGUGAGGAAUCUUGGUCAAUGGACGAGAGUCUGAACCAGCCAAGUAGCGUGAAGGAUGACUGUCCUAUGGGUUGUAAACUUCUUUUAUAUGGGAAUAAAAUGUUCCACGUGUGGGAUUUUGUAUGUACCAUAUGAAUAAGGAUCGGCUAACUCCGUGCCAGCAGCCGCGGUAAUACGGAGGAUCCGAGCGUUAUCCGGAUUUAUUGGGUUUAAAGGGAGCGUAGGUGGAUUGUUAAGUCAGUUGUGAAAGUUUGCGGCUCAACCGUAGAAUUGCAGUUGAAACUGGCAGUCUUGAGUACAGUAGAGGUGGGCGGAAUUCGUGGUGUAGCGGUGAAAUGCUUAGAUAUCACGAAGAACUCCGAUUGCGAAGGCAGUUCACUGGACUGCAACUGACGCUGAGGCUCGAAAGUGUGGGUAUCAAACAGGAUUAGAUACCCGAGUAGUC